AUGGAGUGGCUGGGAAUGUAGCUUAGUGGUAGAAUGCUUGCCUAGCAUACAUGAUUCAUUGGGUUUGAACCCUCAGUACCACAAAGACAGAAAAAGCCAGAAGUGGUGCUGUGGCUCAAGUGGUAGAGAACCAGCCUUGACAAGACUCAGA
Long non-coding RNA from Perognathus longimembris pacificus (Pacific pocket mouse), 151 nucleotides. RefSeq lists it as uncharacterized. NCBI's taxonomy places the organism in Eukaryota, Metazoa, Chordata, Mammalia, Rodentia, Heteromyidae. The transcript has 3 exons. The record is from RefSeq and is a predicted model, not a curated record.